RNAcentral lists this ribosomal RNA (505 nucleotides) under uncultured bacterium. Its description in RNAcentral is "partial 16S ribosomal RNA". It matches the Rfam family "Bacterial small subunit ribosomal RNA", at positions 28 to 507 of the family's 1533-position model. The record is from RNAcentral.
GACGAACGCUGGCGGCGUGCCUAAUACAUGCAAGUAGAACGCACAGUUUAUACCGUAGCUUGCUACACCAUAGACUGUGAGUUGCGAACGGGUGAGUAACGCGUAGGUAACCUGCCUGGUAGCGGGGGAUAACUAUUGGAAACGAUAGCUAAUACCGCAUAAUAUUGAUUAUUGCAUGAUAAUUGAUUGAAAGAUGCUAUUGCAUCACUACCAGAUGGACCUGCGUUGUAUUAGCUAGUAGGUGAGGUAACGGCUCACCUAGGCGACGAUACAUAGCCGACCUGGGUGGGUGGUCGGCCACCCUGGUACUGAGAAACGGCCCAGACUCCUACGGGAGGCAGCAGUAGGGGAUCUUCGGCAAUGGACGAAAGUCUGACCGAGCAACGCCGCGUGAGUGAAGAAGGUUUUCGGAUCGUAAAGCUCUGUUGUAAGAGAAGAACGGGUGUGAGAGUGGAAAGUUCACACUGUGACGGUAUCUUACCAGAAAGGGACGGCUAACUACGUG